UUCCGGUUGAUCCUGCCGGACCCGACUGCUAUCAGAGUGGGACUAAGCCAUGCGAGUUAACGUAGCAAUACGUGGCAUACGGCUCAGUAACACGUAGUCAACAUGCCCAGAGGACGUGGAUAACCUCGGGAAACUGAGGAUAAACCGCGAUAGGCCAUGAUUCCUGGAAUGGUUCAUGGCCGAAAUCUAUAUGGCCUUUGGAUUGGACUGCGGCCGAUCAGGCUGUUGGUGAGGUAAUGGCCCACCAAACCUGUUACCGGUACGGGCUCUGAGAGGAGGAGCCCGGAGAUGGGCACUGAGACAAGGGCCCAGGCCCUAUGGGGCGCAGCAGGCGCGAAACCUCUGCAAUAGGCGAAAGCUUGACAGGGUUACUCUGAGUGGUUUCCGUUAAGGAGAUCUUUUGACACCUCUAAAAAUGGUGUAGAAUAAGGGGUGGGCAAGUCUGGUGUCAGCCGCCGCGGUAAUACCAGCACCCCGAGUGGUCGGGACGAUUAUUGGGCCUAAAGCAUCCGUAGCCGGUCCUACAAGUCUUCCGUUAAAUCCACCUGCUUAACAGAUGGGCUGCGGAAGAUACUAUAGGGCUAGGAGGCGGGAGAGGCAAGCGGUACUCAGUGGGUAGGGGUAAAAUCCUCUGAUCCAUU
RNAcentral lists this ribosomal RNA (641 nucleotides) under uncultured archaeon. RNAcentral describes it as "bacterial SSU rRNA". It matches the Rfam family "Archaeal small subunit ribosomal RNA", at positions 1 to 651 of the family's 1478-position model. The record is from RNAcentral.